AUGAUGCAGCGCAACGCGCGGAGCAUCCCUCCCGCCGAGAGCGCCGCCUGUUGCAGCUCCGGCCCUUCGCAGGGAGAUGACUCUGUAUCUGGGCCACAGUACCAUAGCGAUGAUCAAGUUGAGGUUCAAAGCCCUUACACUGAAGAGAUAGCUUUUCGUCCCUCAAACCAUGCUGGGAGUCCCAGUCAACCGUGGCCUAUCAGUUUGCAGGAUAACAUGGGUCCUGUCAGAGAAAUUGUUUGUAUAGAACCAAACGUGGCCACGAUGGCAGCUAAUACUCCAUCUGGUCGGGCCUCCUUGCAAAUCCAGGAUGACAUUCAGAUUAAUGAUCCUAUCCGAGCAAUGACUCCUACUCUGAUGCCGGCAACAACCCGGCCCAGGAUGGCAGCCGAUAACCCAUCCUCAAUGACACCUGCUAUGAUGCCAGUUCCAACCCUGCCAUGGAUGGCAGGCGAGAACCCGCGCGCUUGGAUCCCGCUCCUGAACCUGGACUAUGCUCCUACUCCUGAUGUUAUGAUGCAGGGGGGUAGCCCUGGCCAUUGCGUGUCCAUUGGGCUGCAUAAUGAUAUGAGGAUUGAAAGCCCCAUACCAAAUGCCAUUCAUACACCUCCGAGAAGUGUUUCCACACCAAGCCCUGUGCGGGAUCUUUCAAGACCUGUUCAGCGAAUGGUUCUUCCGUCAGGAAGCCCACAUAGCCCAGCAUGGGCAAUGGCGCCAAGUUGUGCAACCUAUCAUGCCACAGAAAAUGCAUUGAGGGAGAAAGCAAGUCCUCAAAUGCAAGCACUGGAGGAAUUGGAGUUCAUGAAGAGAUUUAUGAUUUGUGCAUACCUUCGUCAGAAGAGGAUAGAAGAUGAACUAUCUGUGGACUAUAUUAGAUCCUUGAAGCACCUUUCCAUAGUUCAGUUUGAGUCAGAAAUCUGGAGAGCAUUUGGUUGCAAAUAUAUAAAAUUUUCAGAUAGAGUGAAGAACCUUGAUUCCGACCCAGGUGCAACAAGAGUCUACCAUUGUAUUGUAGAGAUAACAGGGGACUCUGUAGUGAAAGUAUUCAAGGGACCAUAUGUACAAAAUACACGGACUCAUUUGCAAAAAAAUGUUGGUGAUGAUAACGUCCUCUUGGUAAAGUUUAUGGGGCCAUCUUCAGAGUCUGUGAUUGAUUUUCUACCUUACCAUAAGGUUGCUGAAGAUGGUAUUAUUCUGGGUUUACGCCGCUACCGUUUUUUUGUUUACAAGGAUGGAGGAAAAGAUGAGAAAAAGAAAGAAGAGAAAAUAAAUUGGGAAAACAAGAACUGCGCUUCAGGCGUGAAAUGCUACUUUGUUCGCACAGAGUCUGGAUGGAAUAUGGAUGAACCUUACAUACUCUCUGGCAAGACAAUCAAUCAGGCUCGCAAACUAUUCAUGCACAUACAUACUGCUCCCACCUUGGCGAAAUACAUGGCCAGGUUUGCUUUGAUACUAUCGAAAACUAUCACAAUGGAGGUUGAUUUAUCAGCGCUUCAUGUUAUACAGCUUGAUGAUAAACCUUGCAGCGCUGAAAAUGGGGGCAUUGUUCAACGAGAUGGGGAACUCCUGAUCCAUACUGAUGGAACUGGCCUAAUAUCUGAAGAUUUGGCUGAGAAAUGCCCAACAAUUAUGUACAAGGGAAAACUUUUGAAGUCACAAGAUGUUCAGGCUUGUGAUGAUACACUUACGACGUCCCCCCGUGCGAAGAAACAACGGCUUAUUGCCAGUAAACCUCCUCUUCUUAUUCAGUUCCGGAUGUUCUAUAAAGGAUCAGCUGUUAAGGGAACUGCAUUAAUUGACAGAAGGCUUCCUCCUGGAACUAUUCUUAUACGGCCAUCAAUGAUAAAAAUAAAAUCUGAUCCAAAAUUAUGUGGUGUACAGUCCGUUAACUCUUGGGAAUUGAUAAAAAUGAAAGCUGAUCCAAAAUCAUAUUGUGUCCAGUCCGUCAACUCUUUGGAAAUAGUGACAACGAGCACUAAACCGAAAAGGACAUUAACAUCGAAGCUCUUGAUUGCACUACUUCGCUAUGGAGGAGUUAAAGAAGAGUUCUUUAUGGAGCUUCUAGAGAAUGCAAUUGAAGGGGCUGAGAACGCUCGUUGUGAUUAUGAAGACGCACUAAACAUUGCAUUUAUCUAUGCGGACAUGGAGGAUUCGAUAUCAGCACGAAUGAUUUUAUCUGGAAUUCCACUAGAAGAUGCAUAUUUGCAGUCCAGGCUGGCUAUCAUGGCUCAACAAGAAAGAAAGGGAAUCAAGCAAGGAAAGCUACCAAUCAGUGAUUGCUUUUAUUUGAUGGGUACAACAGAUUCUACAGGGAAACUCAAAGCCAAUGAAGUUUGUGUGAUCCUUGACAAUGGACCAUAUUGUGGAAAUGUGCUUGUCUAUAAACAUCCUGGGUUACACUUUGGUGAUAUACAUGUCUUGACAUCAAGAUAUAUCGAGGAUAUACAUGACGUAGUAGGAUAUUCAAGAUAUGCUAUACUUUUCCCUACCUCUGGCCCACGAUCGUUGGCCGAUGAGAUGGCCAAUAGUGAUUUUGAUGGGGACAUGUAUUGGGUCUCAAUAAAUGAACAGUUAUUAAAGCAGUUCAAGCCUUCUAAACCAUGGGAAUGGGGCCAAGUAAAUAAACCAAUACAGGCCGAGAAAAAGUGUCUUUUGGAUUUAGACGAACCCCUACUCGACAGGAGUUUGUUUCAUGAAUUCUUAAAAGCAAGAUUUGCACGCAGUAAUGCACUUGGCACAGCAGCUGAUAGUUGGUUAGUAUAUAUGGACCGACUGUUAACAGAUGGUGUUGAUGAAGAUGAAAGUAAUGUACUAGAAAAAAAGAUAAAGAAGUUGGUUGAUCUUUAUUAUUUGGCCCUGGACGCUCCAAAGGCCAGGUCCAAGAUCAAUGUCCCUGCUGAGCUGACAGCAAAAAAGUAUCCGCACUACAUGGAUCGAAAGGAAAGCUACCAUUCGACAUCCAUACUAGGAAAAAUUUAUGACGAAGCAGAAAAAAAGCAAUCUGAGAAAGUUGAACCAGUCGAGAUAUCGUUGGACCCGCGUUUCACGGAGAGAGCAGCAUCUUCAGGAUACAAGUACCUGAACCUCUGGACAGGCCGUUAUCACGGAGAGAGCAGCAUCUUCAGGAUACAAGGAAGAAACAGACCUGAAGUCCAAAGAACUCUACCAAAAGUACAAAUACAUGCUCUACGAUGCCGCUGA
Molecule: ribosomal RNA, 3201 nt
Filed under: Triticum aestivum (bread wheat)
Lineage: Eukaryota; Viridiplantae; Streptophyta; Magnoliopsida; Poales; Poaceae
Description: partial small subunit ribosomal RNA
Source: RNAcentral